Molecule: transfer RNA, 63 nt
Filed under: Ramazzottius varieornatus
Lineage: Eukaryota; Metazoa; Tardigrada; Eutardigrada; Parachela; Ramazzottiidae
Description: tRNA-Trp
Source: RNAcentral
AAGAUUUUAAGUUAAAAAAACUAAUGUGUUUCAAACACUUCAAUAAUGAAAAUUUAAAUCUUA